Non-coding RNA from Solanum lycopersicum (tomato), 1234 nucleotides. Lineage: Eukaryota; Viridiplantae; Streptophyta; Magnoliopsida; Solanales; Solanaceae. The record is from RefSeq and is a predicted model, not a curated record.
AACACAUCACCAACAACGUGCAGGAAAACCGACUCGACCCCAGUUACGUUUUCUUCCAAGUAAUACCCAAACCGCGAAGCCCAGCAAAUCACUGCGUUUUCCUCUCCUUCUCCCUUAUCUUCUUGUACAAAACCGUUUGUUGAUAUGCCAGAUGGAGCAAUCUCUAUGCUUGUUCGUCGUUGCCUCAUGUAGAAUCAAUGGCUAUCCUCUUCAUUCUGUUGAGAAAUUGUACAAAUUUGUACCUGAUUUAGCUGGCAACCUUAUCCUCCAAGGAUUUCGAAUUCAAAUUCAUUCUGUUUUCCCCCUUUUUAUCAAACUUUAGAAGUCUCCUACAAAUACCCCUGUCUCAUUCUUUGAAUCUGUUGGUCUUUUUUGUGACUGAAAUAAUACAAGAAAAAAUAUUCUAACGGAUAGAAGGAAAUACAAAUAUAUAAAGAAUCCCAUAGAAACAGGGGAGGAGAACAUGUUCAAGAAAAUAUACUUACAUCAUCUUAAGAAAGGAAAUAGAUAAGCUCAUAUACAUAUAUACCUAUCGAAGUCGAGUUAGAAGCAGAAGUAUUGCUUAAUUCUUGAUUGUCGUUCGAACUCGAAUUGUGUAUUGAAAAUGAGUCCCCUGCUAGCACCGUCUCAAGUUUUCUGCCGCAGAGAAGGUCGAAACAUGAAUAGGGGGGCCAAAUUCGAAACGCAGGUUAAUAACAGUAAAGAUACACUGCUGGAAAAGAUAUUUCAGCCCUCAAAAGUCGAAAAUUAAGCUGAUAUACAGUCUGUAUACACUGGUAUACGGUCAAAAUAUAUGGUAUAUAGUUGAAAAUGUGCCAUUACAGGGAAAACGCAAAAACAAAAUAUAUGAAUAUCUGGAUGAAAAUUACAGGUGUGGGAGCUCAAGAAUUAGCUAUAUGUAGUAUGUAUAUACAGGAUAUACACUCAAUGUAUGUCAUGGAGGAAAAAAUGGAAAGGGGCCAAAAGCCCAAGGAAAAUCCAGCAGGCCCAAAUUGGUUCCAAAGUGGGCAAGUUUUGGGUCAUUAUUUCAGAAUUAGGACAGGUGGGCCAAAGCCCAAUUUGGUGAAUUUGGGUAAUUAACCCAAGUUAAAAUACUCUUUCCUCCUCCUCCUUUAUCUAUAUUAGUAUUAUUAUUUUUGGAUUGACUAACACUUUGAUUGAAUUUUGUUAAUUCCCAACGAUAGCCAUUUAUUGUAAUACCUAUAUAUUUUUCCUAUGUCUUAUUAUUUGGUUU